Lagenorhynchus albirostris (white-beaked dolphin) is the source of this 552-nucleotide long non-coding RNA. RefSeq lists it as uncharacterized. NCBI's taxonomy places the organism in Eukaryota, Metazoa, Chordata, Mammalia, Artiodactyla, Delphinidae. The record is from RefSeq and is a predicted model, not a curated record. The transcript has 3 exons.
CACAGAGCUUACUUUGGUGGCUGACUAAGUCCACAGAUUUUUGCAACUCAGUAACCUCAAGGUCCUGGCAAUGUAUUUUUAUAUAUAUCACGUCACUCAAGUGCCUCUAUAACCCAAUGAAAGAAAUAGUCUCCCAUUUCUACAAUGAGCAGCCUAACUCGGGUUAAGCCAAGCCGAAGAGAAGCAGUGUUAGGAUUUAACUCUGCAGGUGGUCUGACUACAAAACCCAGGCUAAAACCGACCAUUCUCCACGGGCUCAAGAGUCCAAUUUGAGAAAUGACAGUGCCACAUGCUUAAAAACUGAUAGGAAAUGUGACUGAGGCAUGAAUGAUAUAAUUCAUCUAAGAAGAGUUUUAUAAAGCACGUAAGAUACCAAAGCUAGAGGCAUUGUUCAAGGAGAAAAAAAGUCCCUACACUAUAACUAGUUUCCUUGAUAUGGAAUGGCUAACACCAACUGGUGAUGGAUAUAUUUGUUCUUAUGGCCUUGUUUCAUGAUGGAUGACUUGAAGGUUAACUGAAAGAGUUGAAGAAACCACAUGAAAACACAAAAUA